RNAcentral lists this ribosomal RNA (799 nucleotides) under uncultured bacterium. RNAcentral's name for it is "bacterial SSU rRNA". It matches the Rfam family "Bacterial small subunit ribosomal RNA", at positions 8 to 807 of the family's 1533-position model. The record is from RNAcentral.
AGAGUUUGAUCCUGGCUCAGGAUGAACGUUGGCGGCGUGCUUAACACAUGCAAGUCGAACGAAGCACUUUGGACAGAUUCUUCGGAUGAAAUCCUUAGUGACUGAGUGGCGGACGGGUGAGUAACGCGUGGGUAACCUGCCUCAUACAGGGGGAUAACAGUUAGAAAUGGCUGCUAAUACCGCAUAAGCGCACAGUACCGCAUGGUACGGUGUGAAAAACUCCGGUGGUAUGAGAUGGACCCGCGUUGGAUUAGCUAGUUGGCAGGGUAACGGCCUACCAAGGCGACGAUCCAUAGCCGGCCUGAGAGGGUGGACGGCCACAUUGGGACUGAGACACGGCCCAGACUCCUACGGGAGGCAGCAGUGGGGAAUAUUGCACAAUGGGGGAAACCCUGAUGCAGCGACGCCGCGUGAAGGAAGAAGUAUCUCGGUAUGUAAACUUCUAUCAGCAGGGAAGAUAGUGACGGUACCUGACUAAGAAGCCCCGGCUAACUACGUGCCAGCAGCCGCGGUAAUACGUAGGGGGCAAGCGUUAUCCGGAUUUACUGGGUGUAAAGGGAGCGUAGACGGUGUGGCAAGUCUGAUGUGAAAGGCAUGGGCUCAACCUGUGGACUGCAUUGGAAACUGUCAUACUUGAGUGCCGGAGGGGUAAGCGGAAUUCCUAGUGUAGCGGUGAAAUGCGUAGAUAUUAGGAGGAACACCAGUGGCGAAGGCGGCUUACUGGACGGUAACUGACGUUGAGGCUCGAAAGCGUGGGGAGCAAACAAAAUUAGAUACCCUGGUAGUCCACGCCGUAAAC